GCCCUCGGAACACGGGGUUAAGGCAGGAAUUCCACUUCUAGAAAAGCCUCCUGCAGCUGCGCUCCCACAAGUGCGCAAAGAUUGCCAAUUUUAAUAUUAAAGCGGAUAAUUAUUAAGGGCUCACUAGGUAGCAGGUCGUGGACUGCGCUAAAUCAAUUAGUUCAUGCAGUCCCCAGAGCAACCUGGAUCUAUUAUUAUUCCCGGAUUUAGUGAUGAGGAAAUUGGUUUGCUUAAAGUUUCAAUGAGUCAGUUGUGAGAAUAAUCGCAACUAUAUUCUGUCAAGGACCCUGUGAAGUAGAUCUUACCACCUUUAUUUGCCCAAGUAUACACACAGUGGUGGGUUGGAGAACCCGGACUUGAAUAAGCCUGUUGCAGUCCUGAGCCUUUGCGCUGAACCGCUGGUGACUUACUUCCAGUCAAACCCGUGCAAACACUGCAACUUUAGUUGUACGAAAAACAGUUGGGAACAACCUACCUGUCCUUCAUUAGGAGAGUGGCUGAUAAAAUACAGUGGAGACAUACAGCGGCAGAGAGAAAGAUGGAAUGAAGCAACACCUCAUCAAGAGAAGCAACCUGGGCAAACCAGGCCUGGUUUAACUGCACUUUCUCACGUUUGAUCAUUUUCUCAAGAGAUACGUGCGUGGUCCUCUGCAAUUCAGAAUGAAAUCUGAACUUCUGGAAAAACUCUCCUAGAGGGGGUUUGAGGACAAGAGACAAGGGAAAUUUGGACACAGACAUACAAAGAGGAGAGAAUGCUAUAUGAAGACACAGAGACAGACAGACCCAGAGAACAGAUGGCCAUGUGACCACAGAGGCUGUGAUUGGCAUUGCAUAGCUACAAGCCAGGAAACUCUGAGGAUUUCCAGAAACCUCCAGAAGUUAGUAGAGAGGUAUGGAAUAGAUUCUCCCCAUGCCUGAGCUGCCAAGAAGGAACUAAGCCUGCUGAUACCUUGAUUUUGGACAUCUGGCCUCCUGAACUGUGAGAGAAUAAAUUUCUGUUGUGUUAAGCCAUUCAGUUUGUGGUACAACAGCCCUGGGGAACUAAUACAGCACUUCUUAGUCAACCCAAGGAGAGGGCUCAUUUGCAGGAUGGAAUUCCUCCCCUUUUUAACAUUUAGCCAUCUAGUCGCAAUGGUGGGCAGGUUCUAAAUUGAUAGCCAUUUCCACUGACUUUGCUAGAGUAAAUAUUUUGCGUCCUCCCAUCCCUCUCUCAUGCCCCACCACUGUCAUUAAACAAGGCAGAAGAAUUCAAAGCACUUACCUUGAUGAAACAUUUCUUUGGGUCAUUAUAGUUUCAAGGAUUAGAAUUUUCCACUUGUUAUUCCAAGCAUUUGUUUGCCUGAGCACUUUCUAUCAUGGUCCAUAAAAUACUGUGUAAGUCUCAUCACUCCAAUAGUUUCUCUUUUAACCAAGUCCAAUUGUUCCAGGAUACAAUCAGUAUAAUCAAAAUAUUUCAAAAGUUGAAAUCAAUGAAAAACAGGUGGCUUUCUUUUUCUUGAGUCUUUUGUCCAAAAUGAUGGGUUCACACAUAUAUUUUGCCAUGAAAUAAUUUCUUCCAUUAUUUCUUUGGUAAUUAUGAAAUAAUCCUAAACUACAAGCAAUUUUAAAGAUGAGAUUCAAAAAAACUUUAAGUGAUUUUUGGCAUCCUUAAACUAUUAUGACAAUUAUCUCAAUCACUGGAAGAAAAGUAUAGGUGUGGUUUGGACACAGGUGCAAAUAACAUAGUAAUCAAAAUGCUGAUAAAGCAAUCCUCUUCCCAGUCAACCAUUUGACUAAAUAAGUAACUUUAGGUUUGACCUCAAUUAAUGAGGUAUAUUCAGGUUUCAAAGCAGGUUUAGAAGUGUAUGAACUAUGAACUAUGACUCCCAAAUAUAAUUGUUACCUAUCUGAUACCCAAGCUAGCAGAAACUAUGACUAUCAGUGCAGUUAUGCAACUAUAAAAAGCAUCAGGAGAGUUAUGCAACUAUAAAAAUCAUCAGGAGAGUUAUCAAGUAAGAUGUUAGUUGACCAUUUAAGACAGAAAAUAGAGAUAUCUUAAAAUUAGAAGUGAGUCACAUGAAUAGAAAUACCACUGGUGGAGAGGGAGAAAGCUUCUAACUUUUCUUACCAAAUAUUGCUAGUUCCUUGAAAUAAUCAUUAUUAGUAUUUUGGCUAAUCUUAUUAUUGCCACUAGGAAAAAUUCCUUAGGGUAUUUCAGCCUUUAACAUCCUUAGGAUCCUGAGAGGGGGAAACACACAGAAAGGCAGAAAAUUAGGAUUAUGUUACUUAGAUGAUUGGAGAAGAAGAUCUCUUCCCCUAUGAAAGCCAACAUAUUUUAUACAUAGUUCAUGGCUGAUUACAUAAUACAUGGUGUUCAGUGAAAAAUGAAAAUGCAGGACCCCUUGUUCAAAAAUCAGGAAACAGGUGUUGUAUAUGAACAUUUUUCCUUUCUUUCAUGGCCUUUCUUAAAUUGUCAUGAUGUUUUUCACUUGUUCUUUAAUGUCAUUCUAAGUAAAGAAUAAUUAAAAUGUUAAUUAUUAGCAUGAACUUCACUAUUCAUCUUUAUACUGUACCAUGCCAGUUUUAAAUGCUAGUUUAAAUAUAAGAGCACUUAACUCAAACACAGAAUCACUGAAAUUAUACAAUUUGUAACUUGUAGUUUCUACAUGUUUAUGUAUUUUUCUUACCAGAACAAUGGAAACACUGAACAAAGCUGACUUGGAUGUUGCUAUUUAGUUUGGUAUGCACACAUUCUACCAAUGCUCUCCACUUUUGGCUUA
RNAcentral lists this long non-coding RNA (2759 nucleotides) under Homo sapiens (human). Its description in RNAcentral is "HSALNT0312538". Lineage: Eukaryota; Metazoa; Chordata; Mammalia; Primates; Hominidae. The record is from RNAcentral.